GUGCUCGCUUGGGCAGCACAUAUACUAGCAUUGGAACAAUACAGAGAAGGUAAGCAUGGCCCUGCGCAAGGAUGGACAUGCAAAUUUGUGCAGUCUUCCUUAUUUGU
This is a small nuclear RNA of Dipodomys ordii (Ord's kangaroo rat), 107 nucleotides long. NCBI's taxonomy places the organism in Eukaryota, Metazoa, Chordata, Mammalia, Rodentia, Heteromyidae. The record is from Ensembl.